AUGCUGAUUAUUUUUAUCUACUUGCUUCUUUCUCCUUUCCCCCAGCAGCACCACAGUCUACAGGAGUUCUUUAGAGUGAACCCUUUCAAAUAUGAACACCAUUGUUUCACUGUUCCUCCUCAUGGACCUGACCUAAAUCUCCUCUGUGGUAAGGAAAAUUAUUUUCCUUACAAAACUGCAGUCCUGCCACUGAAUAUAUUGCCAAAAUCUGAAGUCUUCCUUGCUCUUUCCUGGGACUUUAAUGAUCCAGUGCAGAGGGUGAAGGUGCUGGAGAAGAAAUGUGGAUGUGCUGCAGAAACCAUUGCAGAUGAAAGAAGAAGAAGAAGAUCCUGUCCUGCCUUUGUUGGCCACAAGGUACCCACUGCUGGUUCCAGUAAACACAAGGCUGAAUGGAAACAUUUGUGAGCCAAAGGCAUCGGUGUCUGCCUCGUAAAAUCUCAAACUGAGAAAUGAGGGAUUAAAUGGCUGUGAACCCUUAAUUAAGUGCUCAGCACCAACGUGCCCUCCUGCUGGAGCCUGAGACGUGCUGAUAGGAGCUGGUGAGGAGCUGGAGCUUGUGGUACUCCUGAUUUUCAAGGUGGAAAAAAGUCCUGCGCUCUCUCUUUUUGAGACACCAUCUCAUGUGUGGCUGGUUCACAGGGCAGACUCCAAAACCAGUGGCAGUGGUGGGUUUUUAGUGGAAUGCAGUUAUUCUGGGAGAAGCAAAUUCCUGGGUGUGCGAG
This 722-nucleotide long non-coding RNA is filed under the name Cyanistes caeruleus (blue tit). Its description in RNAcentral is "lncRNA (ENSCCEG00000013644.1)". Lineage: Eukaryota; Metazoa; Chordata; Aves; Passeriformes; Paridae. The record is from RNAcentral.